This 497-nucleotide ribosomal RNA is filed under the name uncultured bacterium. RNAcentral's name for it is "partial 16S ribosomal RNA". It matches the Rfam family "Bacterial small subunit ribosomal RNA", at positions 28 to 507 of the family's 1533-position model. The record is from RNAcentral.
GAUGACCGCUGGCGGCGUGCCUAAUCCAUGCAAGUCGAGCGAACAGACGAGGAGCUUGCUCCUUUGACGUUAGCGGCGGACGGGUGAGUAACACGUGGAUAACCUACCUAUAAGACUGGGAUAACUUCGGGAAACCGGAGCUAAUAUCGGAUAAUAUAUUGAACCGCAUGGUUCAAUAGUGAAAGACGGUUUUGCUGUCACUUAUAGAUGGAUCCGCGCCGCAUUAGCUAGUUGGUAAGGUAACGGCUUACCAAGGCGACGAUGCGUAGCGGACCUGAGAGGGUGAUCGGCCACACUGGAACUGAGACACGGUCCAGACUCCUACGGGAGGCAGCAGUAGGGAAUCUUCCGCAAUGGGCGAAAGCCUGACGGAGCAACGCCGCGUGAGUGAAGAAGGUCUUCGGAUCGUAAAACUCUGUUAUUGGGGAAGAACAAAUGUGUAAGUAACUAUGCACGUCUUGACGGUACCUAAACAGAAAGCCACGGCUAACUACGUG